Urocitellus parryii (Arctic ground squirrel) is the source of this 385-nucleotide long non-coding RNA. RefSeq lists it as uncharacterized. Lineage: Eukaryota; Metazoa; Chordata; Mammalia; Rodentia; Sciuridae. The record is from RefSeq and is a predicted model, not a curated record.
CGCGCUCCCGCGGCCGAAAAGACCCAGGUGCGCGGCCCUCCGAGCCGGCGCUACUGCCGCGGUCUGGACCAGACACCUAUCGCGACCCAGCUCCGCGCUCGCGCAGAUGGAUCUUCUUCGGGCGGUGUUGAGGAAAGGAAGAGUGACAGGUCCCCAGGCCUUUCCCACUGUAGGGCAUCGCCACGGGAGCAUGUGAGGAGCAGUCACCGUGACUCCUUACAGUCAAGGCCAAGUCACCACUGCAGAUGGCCGCCCCUCCUGUGGAAAACCCAGAAGCAGAGCUGAGAGGCUUGGAACCCCAGUGACUUCUCCCCCUGGUCUACAGCCUCUUCCCCUUCGUGCUCUUCUGGUCUUUACUUCCCAGCAUAAGAACCAUUUCCUCCAA